GAUUGAACGCUGGCGGCAGGCCUAACACAUGCAAGUCGAGCGGUAACAUUUCUAGCUUGCUAGAAGAUGACGAGCGGCGGACGGGUGAGUAAUGCUUGGGAACAUGCCUUGAGGUGGGGGACAACAGUUGGAAACGACUGCUAAUACCGCAUAAUGUCUACGGACCAAAGGGGGCUUCGGCUCUCGCCUUUAGAUUGGCCCAAGUGGGAUUAGCUAGUUGGUGAGGUAAUGGCUCACCAAGGCGACGAUCCCUAGCUGGUUUGAGAGGAUGAUCAGCCACACUGGGACUGAGACACGGCCCAGACUCCUACGGGAGGCAGCAGUGGGGAAUAUUGCACAAUGGGCGCAAGCCUGAUGCAGCCAUGCCGCGUGUGUGAAGAAGGCCUUCGGGUUGUAAAGCACUUUCAGUCAGGAGGAAAGGUUAGUAGUUAAUACCUGCUAGCUGUGACGUUACUGACAGAAGAAGCACCGGCUAACUCCG
RNAcentral lists this ribosomal RNA (481 nucleotides) under uncultured Pseudoalteromonas sp. RNAcentral describes it as "bacterial SSU rRNA". It matches the Rfam family "Bacterial small subunit ribosomal RNA", at positions 27 to 505 of the family's 1533-position model. Lineage: Bacteria; Pseudomonadati; Pseudomonadota; Gammaproteobacteria; Alteromonadales; Pseudoalteromonadaceae. The record is from RNAcentral.